This 228-nucleotide long non-coding RNA is filed under the name Panax ginseng (ginseng). Its description in RNAcentral is "long non-coding RNA (PGIN_LNC019071)". The record is from RNAcentral. Lineage: Eukaryota; Viridiplantae; Streptophyta; Magnoliopsida; Apiales; Araliaceae.
UUUUUCAAUCACAAACUGUGUUUGUUCUACGUUAGUAUUCAUGGUGAAGAGUAGAACACCUACACCCAAAGGAUAGCCGAUGGCUGUCAGUGAAUCAGCACCGCGAGUGUCUGCCAAAGAUCGUUUGGGACCUACAAUAAGUGUUCACGCUAGCACAGCAUCCAAACGUUCACCUGAAGAUUCUCGGCCGAGAGCAGUAAGCAAAGCUAAGCGUAAGCUAGUCUUCCC